UCUUUCAAGCCUAAAAUUUUUGAGGUUAUCAUGAACUGUCAUCUAAAUGAUAUUUUUUUUAUGAUAUGUUCUGAAACUUUCGGUUUAUCCCAGAGAUUGUCUGUUGAAUGUGAAGGAGUUUUAAGAGUACCACGAUGGUGUUAUAAUUUUUGUAUUGCUUCUUGCAGCAUAAACAUGAGUUGUGUUGAUGCUGGGUGCUUGUCAUCCAGCAAGGAAGGCAUAAGAUUCUUCAGUUUUCCAAGGGAUCCAGCACGGGCUGCGGUAUGGGCAGGAAAAGUUGGAAUAUCCUGCACUAUUGAUUCUGCUAGAAGGCUGCACAAUAAAUAUUUGUGUAGCAAACAUUUCCUGGAAAGUGAUUUCACUACACAUUGCACAAAGCCACAACACUGUAUUGGCUACAGGUAAGGACCACUGCACUCUAUACUAUGAAUUAUGUUCUGUUAUGAGAGAAGUGGCUAGCGAGAAUAAUGAUUGGUGAUCACCUUGUGAACACAUUUGAAGCUAUUUGUUCGUAGUCUGGUUUGAACAAUAAUCCAACUGUGGGACAGUUUGUAGAUGCCCUGAAGACUAACAUCAUCAGUGCACUUGCUAUCAGAGGUCUGUGUGGAACUAGUUGUGAG
Molecule: long non-coding RNA, 620 nt
Organism: Cryptotermes secundus
Lineage: Eukaryota; Metazoa; Arthropoda; Insecta; Blattodea; Kalotermitidae
Exons: 2
Source: RefSeq, a predicted model, not a curated record